GAUGAACGCUGGCGGCGUGCCUAAUACAUGCAAGUCGAGCGAACGGACGAGAAGCUUGCUUCUCUGAUGUUAGCGGCGGACGGGUGAGUAACACGUGGAUAACCUACCUAUAAGACUGGGAUAACUUCGGGAAACCGGAGCUAAUACCGGAUAAUAUUUUGAACCGCAUGGUUCAAAAGUGAAAGACGGUCUUGCUGUCACUUAUAGAUGGAUCCGCGCUGCAUUAGCUAGUUGGUAAGGUAACGGCUUACCAAGGCAACGAUGCAUAGCCGAACUGAGAGGGUGGUCGGCCACACGGGAACUGAGCCGCGUUCCAGACUCCUACGGGAGGCAGCAGUAGGGAAUCUUCCGCAAUGGGCGAAAGCCUGACGGAGCAACGCCGCGUGAGUGAUGAAGGUCUUCGGAUCGUAAAACUCUGUUAUUAGGGAAGAACAUAUGUGUAAGUAACUGUGCACAUCUUGACGGUACCUAAUCAGAAAGCCACGGCUAACUACGUG
RNAcentral lists this ribosomal RNA (497 nucleotides) under uncultured bacterium. RNAcentral's name for it is "partial 16S ribosomal RNA". It matches the Rfam family "Bacterial small subunit ribosomal RNA", at positions 28 to 507 of the family's 1533-position model. The record is from RNAcentral.